Long non-coding RNA from Daucus carota subsp. sativus, 347 nucleotides. RefSeq lists it as uncharacterized. Lineage: Eukaryota; Viridiplantae; Streptophyta; Magnoliopsida; Apiales; Apiaceae. The transcript has 3 exons. The record is from RefSeq and is a predicted model, not a curated record.
CCAAGAUCAUUUGAGAAAGCACAAAAUGACAGACAUGAUAACAUUUGUUAAUCCGUCCAAGAUUGGCGCCAUCGGUUGUGGUACUCCAGCAGCGAGAUCACGUGCCCUCUCUCUUAGAUUCAAAGAUGCCAAGCCAGGCCAAGUUUUUCUUUUGCCAUAUCACCACACGAACCACUGGGCACUUACUGUGGUUAAUCCAAAUGCACAACUGGUUUACCACAUGGACCCGUUAAAGCGGCGCAUCGCAAAUGAAGAAUGGAUCGAAGUGGUUAACAAUGGCAUCAAAAUUUACAGGGAGGAGGAGAAGAUAAUUCUCAAGAAGAAAAUAAACUGGGAGAAUUUAGCGG